GAUGAACGCUGGCGGCGUGCCUAAUACAUGCAAGUCGAGCGAACGGACGAGAAGCUUGCUUCUCUGAUGUUAGCGGCGGACGGGUGAGUAACACGUGGAUAACCUACCUAUAAGACUGGGAUAACUUCGGGAAACCGGAGCUAAUACCGGAUGAUAUUUUGAACCGCAUGGUUCAAAAGUGAAAGACGGUCUUGCUGUCACUUAUAGAUGGAUCCGCGCUGCAUUAGCUAGUUGGUAAGGUAACGGCUUACCAAGGCAACGAUGCAUAGCCGACCUGAGAGGGUGACCGGCCACACUGGAACUGAGACACGGUCCAGACUCCUACGGGAGGCAGCAGUAGGGAAUCUUCCGCAAUGGGCGAAAGCCUGACGGAGCGACGCCGCGUGAGUGAUGAAGGUCUUCGGAUCGUAAAACUCUGUUAUUAGGGAAGAACAUAUGUGUAAGUAACUGUGCACAUCUUGACGGUACCUAAUCAGAAAGCCACGGCUAACUACGUG
Molecule: ribosomal RNA, 497 nt
Filed under: uncultured bacterium
Lineage: Bacteria
Description: partial 16S ribosomal RNA
Rfam family: Bacterial small subunit ribosomal RNA
Source: RNAcentral